Molecule: ribosomal RNA, 253 nt
Filed under: uncultured bacterium
Lineage: Bacteria
Description: partial 16S ribosomal RNA
Rfam family: Bacterial small subunit ribosomal RNA
Source: RNAcentral
UACAGAGGUCCCAAGCGUUGUUCGGAUUCACUGGGCGUAAAGGGUGCGCAGGCGGCCAAGUGUGUUAGGCGUGAAAGCCCGGGGCUUAACCCCGGAAUUGCACCUAAAACUACAUGGCUAGAGCAUUGGAGAGGGUAGCAGAAUUCAUGGUGUAGCAGUGAAAUGCGUAGAUAUCAUGAGGAAUACCAGAGGCGAAGGCGGCUACCUGGACAAUUGCUGACGCUCAGGCACGAAAGCGUGGGGAGCAAAAGGG